This 678-nucleotide ribosomal RNA is filed under the name Triticum aestivum (bread wheat). RNAcentral's name for it is "partial small subunit ribosomal RNA". The record is from RNAcentral. Lineage: Eukaryota; Viridiplantae; Streptophyta; Magnoliopsida; Poales; Poaceae.
AUGCCUACUACUUGUUGUAGUGAUUAUGCUUGGGAAGACAAUGAUGUCUUUUAUGAUCUUGGAUAUCUUUUUGGCACUUGCUUGGAAGAAUAUGAUAAUAAUGUUUGCUAUACUAUUGGUGCCAUUCAUGCUAUUGAUAAGAAUGAUUAUGAUGGUAUGCAAAACCACAAGCUUGGGGAUCCUAUGUUUGAUGAGUAUGAAAUGUUUGAAGAUUUAUUUUCUGAAAACAAUGCUUGUCCUAAGCUUGGGGAUGCUUUGCAUAAUGAAUAUGAUCCUUUGAUUCCUUCUACUUUCGAUAAUAAGAUUUAUUAUGAUGAUAGCAUGCUUCCUAUUUAUGAUGAUUACAAUGAUGAAAGUGGGUUUGGAAGAGUGUCAACUCUAGGUAGUAGUGAUCCCACUAUUUUGGAGGGUGUUGAAUCUUAUUACAAAAUUGAUGAAAGAGAGGUCAUGACUUUAUUUAGUGAUACAUCCACUAUUUUGGAAGAGGUUUCAAUUGACUAUGAUGAGAACAAAGUUGCUACUUAUGAUGUUUAUUAUGAUGACAUGUAUGCCAUAAAGAGUAAUAAAUUUUCUAUGCUUUUGGAUCAUGAAAAGAAUGCUUUAUGUGAUGGUUAUAUGGAUGAAUCUAUUCAUGAUGCUACUAAAAAUUAUUAUGAGAGAGGAACUUAUGAUUCAUGA